CCUACGGGGUGCAGCAGUGGGGAAUAUUGGACAAUGGGGGCAACCCUGAUCCAGCCAUGCCGCGUGUGUGAAGAAGGCCCUCGGGUUGUAAAGCACUUUCAGUGAGGAAGAACGCCUGGUGGUUAAUACCCAUCAGGAAAGACAUCACUCACAGAAGAAGCACCGGCUAACUCCGUGCCAGCAGCCGCGGUAAUACGGAGGGUGCGAGCGUUAAUCGGAAUUACUGGGCGUAAAGCGCGCGUAGGUGGCUUGAUAAGCCGGUUGUGAAAGCCCCGGGCUCAACCUGGGAACGGCAUCCGGAACUGUCAAGCUAGAGUGCAGGAGAGGAAGGUAGAAUUCCCGGUGUAGCGGUGAAAUGCGUAGAGAUCGGGAGCAAUACCAGUGGCGAAGGCGGCCUUCUGGACUGACACUGACACUGAGGUGCGAAAGCGUGGGUAGCAAACAGGAUUAGAUACCCGGGUAGUC
RNAcentral lists this ribosomal RNA (465 nucleotides) under Vreelandella stevensii. RNAcentral describes it as "partial 16S ribosomal RNA". It matches the Rfam family "Bacterial small subunit ribosomal RNA", at positions 338 to 795 of the family's 1533-position model. The record is from RNAcentral. Lineage: Bacteria; Pseudomonadati; Pseudomonadota; Gammaproteobacteria; Oceanospirillales; Halomonadaceae.